CCCACGCCAGGCCCGCGCCGCACCCCGCCUCUCCCAGGAACACGGCAACGCCGGGCCGGGCCGGGCCGGGCCCCGCCGCGCCGCGCCGCGCCGCUCCGCGGAGCCGCCCGGAGCGCCCCUACCUGUGCCGGGCUCACAUCCUCGGGCCGAGGCCAGCGCUGCCCCCCCGGCGCCGCUCCGGCUACGGCCCCCGCCCGAAGUUUGCCUGCCUUGCGCGGGGCUGAAGGACUGUUGACCCUACAGAAGUUUUCGAAUCAAAUUCUCCCUGCAGACUGACUUGAGUGAAUGACCUCCAAACUUGGCCUACUGGGAUGGAGAGAGAUCCUAACACCGAUAUAUGGAGGAGGUCACUGGGGAUUUGUGCUAAUAGGCCCAUCUGUAAACCGGCAAACUGGAAUUCAACGCAUGUCGUGUUUGGCCAUCCCAUCUGCAUGGUGACAGGACAAUUACAUGGCCUCUGCUCCGUGUGGACCCUUUGGUGUUUCAUCACUAUUGACCAGCAGCUAAACCUUUUGCAUAAUCAGGACAGCAGUGGAGCUUCUCC
This 544-nucleotide long non-coding RNA is filed under the name Dromaius novaehollandiae (emu). RNAcentral describes it as "lncRNA (ENSDNVG00000004198.1)". Lineage: Eukaryota; Metazoa; Chordata; Aves; Casuariiformes; Dromaiidae. The record is from RNAcentral.